AAUAUUGGACAAUGGGGGGAACCCUGAUCCAGCAAUGCCGCGUGUGUGAAGAAGGCCUGAGGGUUGUAAAGCACUUUCAGUGGGGAGGAGGAUUGAUUGGUUAAGAGCUGAUUAAUUGGACGUUACCCCACAGAAGAAGCACCGGCUAACUCCGUGCCAGCAGCCGCGGUAAUACGGAGGGUGCGAGCGUUAAUCGGAAUUACUGGGCGUAAAGGGUGCGUAGGUUGUUUGAUAAGUUAUCUGUGAAAGCCCUGGGCUCAACCUGGGAAGGCCAGAUAAGACUGUUAGACUCGAGUAUGGGAGAGGGUAGUGGAAUUUCCGGUGUAGCGGUGAAAUGCGUAGAGAUCGGAAGGAACACCAGUGGCGAAGGCGGCUACCUGGCCUAAUACUGACACUGAGGCACGAAAGCGUGGGGAGCAAACAGGAUUAGAUACCCUGGUAG
RNAcentral lists this ribosomal RNA (442 nucleotides) under uncultured bacterium. RNAcentral describes it as "bacterial SSU rRNA". It matches the Rfam family "Bacterial small subunit ribosomal RNA", at positions 360 to 793 of the family's 1533-position model. The record is from RNAcentral.